GUGUCAGCAGCCGCGGUAAUACGGAGGGUGCAAGCGUUGUUCGGAAUCAUUGGGCGUAAAGCGCGUGUAGGUGGCUUGGCAAGUCGGUUGUGAAAUCCCGGGGCCCAACCCCGGAACUGCAUUCGAAACUGCCUCGCUAGAGUCCCGGAGAGGAAGGCGGAAUUCCCGGUGUAGAGGUGAAAUUCGUAGAUAUCGGGAGGAACACCAGCGGCGAAGGCGGCCUUCUGGACGGUGACUGACACUGAGACGCGAAAGCGUGGGGAGCAAACAGGAUUAGAAACCCCAGUAGUCC
Molecule: ribosomal RNA, 292 nt
Filed under: uncultured bacterium
Lineage: Bacteria
Description: partial 16S ribosomal RNA
Rfam family: Bacterial small subunit ribosomal RNA
Source: RNAcentral